This 800-nucleotide ribosomal RNA is filed under the name Alteromonas sp. Its description in RNAcentral is "bacterial SSU rRNA". It matches the Rfam family "Bacterial small subunit ribosomal RNA", at positions 52 to 849 of the family's 1533-position model. The record is from RNAcentral. Lineage: Bacteria; Pseudomonadati; Pseudomonadota; Gammaproteobacteria; Alteromonadales; Alteromonadaceae.
CACAUGCAAGUCGAACGGUAACAUUUCUAGCUUGCUAGAAGAUGACGAGUGGCGGACGGGUGAGUAAUGCUUGGGAACUUGCCUUUGCGAGGGGGAUAACAGUUGGAAACGACUGCUAAUACCGCAUAAUGUUUACGGACCAAACGGGGCUUAGGCUCCGGCGCAAAGAGAGGCCCAAGUGAGAUUAGCUAGUUGGUAAGGUAAAGGCUUACCAAGGCAACGAUCUCUAGCUGUUCUGAGAGGAAGAUCAGCCACACUGGAACUGAGACACGGUCCAGACUCCUACGGGAGGCAGCAGUGGGGAAUAUUGCACAAUGGGGGAAACCCUGAUGCAGCCAUGCCGCGUGUGUGAAGAAGGCCUUCGGGUUGUAAAGCACUUUCAGUUGUGAGGAAAAGUUAGUAGUUAAUACCUGCUAGCCGUGACGUUAACAACAGAAGAAGCACCGGCUAACUCCGUGCCAGCAGCCGCGGUAAUACGGAGGGUGCGAGCGUUAAUCGGAAUUACUGGGCGUAAAGCGCACGCAGGCGGUUUGUUAAGCUAGAUGUGAAAGCCCCGGGCUCAACCUGGGAUAGUCAUUUAGAACUGGCAGACUAGAGUCUUGGAGAGGGGAGUGGAAUUCCAGGUGUAGCGGUGAAAUGCGUAGAUAUCUGGAGGAACAUCAGUGGCGAAGGCGACUCCCUGGCCAAAGACUGACGCUCAUGUGCGAAAGUGUGGGUAGCGAACAGGAUUAGAUACCCUGGUAGUCCACACCGUAAACGCUGUCUACUAGCUGUUUGUGACUUUAAGUCGUGAGUAGCGA